Molecule: long non-coding RNA, 532 nt
Filed under: Chinchilla lanigera (long-tailed chinchilla)
Lineage: Eukaryota; Metazoa; Chordata; Mammalia; Rodentia; Chinchillidae
Description: lncRNA (ENSCLAG00000026490.1)
Source: RNAcentral
CGUCUCUCUGUCCUCCAACUAUGUCACAAAAGGACACUUGGGCCCGUGGCCACGCCUGCACUGCCCACCUGAAGUGCUUAACUCCAGCACAUUGCCCACCUCUCAGAAGGAGGGUCACCUGCCCAGGUAGUUUCAUGGGGCCACAGCCCUCCUCUACACUGGAAAAUAUGGGUCCCUAUCGUCACCAGUGACAAAACUGAAGCUGUCCCCCUAGAGGAAAAUGACAACCAGUCUCUUGAUGAUCUGCAAGCGCACCUGUUCUGGAGUCCAACGGCCACAGACAGACUUUGGGGCCUCUGCUCAAAGCCUCGGUUUCCUCAGCUGUCAGGUGGAAAUCAGAGCACGUACCACCGAGCGUUACCCCUGGGCAUGGAUAAGGCGCCCAUGAGAAAGCGCUGCGAGCCGCGGCCGGUGCACACGGGGCGCUGUGAGGGUGAGAUGGUUGCUGCUCACUCCUCUGGCCUGUGCUGAGAAACCAAACGGAUCUUUAUCUGGGACUGGGGAUCGAAUCCAGGCCUUCACACUGAGCUAU